GUGGGGAAUAUUGCGCAAUGGGGGCAACCCUGACGCAGCAACGCCGCGUGCAGGAAGAAGGUCUUCGGAUUGUAAACUGUUGUCGCAGGGGAAGAAGACAGUGACGGUACCCUGUGAGAAAGUCACGGCUAACUACGUGCCAGCAGCCGCGGUAAUACGUAGGUGACAAGCGUUGUCCGGAUUUACUGGGUGUAAAGGGCGCGUAGGCGGGAUAGCAAGUCAGUCGUGAAAUGCCGAGGCUUAACCUCGGAGCUGCGAUUGAAACUGUUAUUCUUGAGUAUCGGAGAGGAAAGCGGAAUUCCUAGUGUAGCGGUGAAAUGCGUAGAUAUUAGGAGGAACACCAGUGGCGAAGGCGGCUUUCUGGACGACAACUGACGCUGAGGCGCGAAAGUGUGGGGAGCAAACAGG
RNAcentral lists this ribosomal RNA (408 nucleotides) under uncultured bacterium. Its description in RNAcentral is "bacterial SSU rRNA". It matches the Rfam family "Bacterial small subunit ribosomal RNA", at positions 354 to 776 of the family's 1533-position model. The record is from RNAcentral.